CAGAGGAGCUCCUGAAGUUUAAAUCCUGAUCAAUAAAUAAACGAAUAAAUCAAAUCAGUGACUCGUCUAAAAUCAGAGUCUCUACACGAGCUCAGAGGAAACCGCAGCAGCGUUCAGCGCCACUUCCUCCUCCUCCUCCUUCCCUCGCUCAAAGAAACAUCCAUCUCUCGGAGGUCACUCCGGGAUCAGGACUGCCUCUUUCCUGUCCUGGGUUUGAUUGACAGGCUGUCACAGCACACGGAUUCGACCAAUAACAGCGGCCGACACUGACUCCUCUUUGUUUACAGUAUCAGACUGUGAUGUCGAUUCAGAUCAGCGUUGUGUUGGGCGCCGGCGGCGGCCAUGACGCUUCCUUCAAUGAGAGUUACCAUCAGCUGUUGAACAUGUGGACCUGAGAGGGACCUGAAGGGGGUCACUCAGAGACCUAAGACUGCAGACCACAUGAGAGGAAACUAAAUCUGUUCUUCUGAACGUUAGAAAACACGGUGGAUGAAUCUCCUUCUCCUCUCAGUGGACAAAAGUGAAGCCAAAAUAUACAAAAACCAGCUGGUUCUGGAGACGACCGACAAUCCUCUAAAAUUCAACUAUAAAAGGAAGACAUGGACCACAGACCUUUUCUCUGUACAGCUCUGUUUUUAGAAGUUAUUAGGCGGUUCAUUUUUCUUUGAUUGACACCUGAUACAGCCUAUAGGAGGACAGAGAUUGUAAGCUCUCCCAGGGGAUACGGUGUUUGAGCCGAGCGUCAUCACAGCGACUCUCAGCGACUUUGCCGCUGAAUGCGCACAACGCUACUGCGCAAUGUUGGUUUUAGAAAGUGGAGAAAAAUCGCAGAAUUACAGAGAGUGUUUUAGCUUCAGUUCUGUAUACUGGCGGGAGGCGGAACCAAGUUGUCCAGAGUAUAAACAGUCUAUGAGUGUGACCAACGGAACUCUUCCUUUAUGAUGUCACACAUUAGAUCAAUGAGACCAAAAACUUCUUCUGUUCUAAGUUCUUAUUGAGGGCGAAAAUUCCGGAAUCCCCUUUGAUGUCCUUGAUGUUUUGAUCUCAUUGAAGAUCAGCUGUUCUGAAUAACACACUAACAAACACACACAUGCACACACACACACACACACACACACACAAACACACAAGUAAGAUGCAGGCAGUAUUGUGUGUGGGGUGCAUACAACACUACUAUGCAAUGUUGGUGAAGUUAGUUUCAGGUUGGAUAUAUUUUCCUGUAAAUACGGCGGUGAAGUUAGUUUCAGGUUGGAUAUAUUUUCCCGUAAAUACAGCGGUGAAGUUAGUUUUAGGUUGGAUAUAUUUUCCUGUAAAUAUGGCGGUGAAGUUAGUUUUUGGUUGGAUAUAUUUUCCUGUCAAUACGGCGGUGAAGUUAGUUUCAGGUUGGAUAUAUUCUCCUGUAAAUAUGGCGGUGAAGUUAGUUUCAGGUUGGAUAUAUUUUCUUGUAAAUACGGUGGUGAAGUUAGUUUCAGGUUGGAUAUAUUUUCUGUAAAUAUGGCGGUGAAGUUAGUUUCAGGUUGGAUAUAUUUUCCUGUUAAUACGGCGGUGAAGUUAGUUUCAGGUUGGAUAUAUUUUCCUGUAAAUACGGCGGUGAAGUUAGUUUUAGGUUGGAUAUAUUCUCCUGUAAAUACGGCGGUGAAGUUAGUUUCAGGUUGGAUAUAUUUUCCUGUAAAUACGGCGGUGAAGUUAGUUUCAGGUUGGAUAUAUUUUCCUGUAAAUACGGCGGUGAAGUUAGUUUCAGGUUGGAUAUAUUUUCCUGUAAAUACGGCGGUGAAGUUAGUUUUAGGUUGGAUAUAUUUUCCUGUAAAUACGGCGGUGAAGUUAGUUUCAGGUUGGAUAUAUUUUCCUGUAAAUAUGGCGGUGAAGUUAGUUUCAGGUUGGAUAUAUUUUCCUGUAAAUAUGGCGGUGAAGUUAGUUUCAGGUUGGAUAUAUUUUCCUGUAAAUAUGGCGAUGAAGUUAGUUUUUGGUUGGAUAUAUUUUCCUGUAAAUAUGGCGGUGAAGUUAGUUUUAGGUUGGAUAUAUAUUCUCCUGUAAAUACGGCGGUGAAGUUACUUUUUGGUUGGAUAUAUUUUCCUGUAAAUACGGCGGUGAAGUUAGUUUCAGGUUGGAUAUAUUCUCCUGUAAAUAUGGCGGUGAAGUUAGUUUUUGGUUGGAUAUAUUUUCCUGUAAAAACGGCGGUGAAGUUAGUUUUAGGUUGGAUAUAUUUUCCUGUAAAUACGGCGGUGAAGUUAGUUUUAGGUUGGAUAUCUGACGGACAUUCUCUGAGGAUCUACCGGUGUCUUCUCACUCUCCAUAACCGGGAAUAACAACAGCAGCGCGGUUAAAUCUACUCGACACCCUCACUGUCAACGUCGGUGUUGAAUAAGGGACCGUCAAUAAAUUACCGGUUGAUGUUCUCAGAAAAGGCUGUUUUCCUUCAAUAGCUUCCAUGUCAUGUGAUUAAAAGACCUAAAAUUGAUUUCUAAUAAUAGUAUGAAGGUCGAUCAAUGAGACAAACAUUAUUGAUUAAUUUUCAUUGUUCCCCUAAAGUUCUUUGUGUGCUCCAUGUGAAAAAAGUUCACCUGCUCUGAGGUUUGAUGGAAACAAACAUGCACAACUAUGAAUACGGGCCUGAAGGAGACGCCUGUGUGUUUACACCUGUGCAGGUAAAGAGUGAGACGGUAAAGACUGAGCAGAAUUUACUGAAGGAGGAUAUUUUUUUUGUAGUAAAUCUGACCUGCUCUCUAAACAGUUUGAAGUUUUGUGUUUUUUAGUGUGACUUUUUUCAGGAAUACUGUCCCUUUAAGCAGAAAAAUGAGGUGAACUGAAAGUACUUUGAAAUAAAUCAAUCUGAGGAUUUUAAAGUGAUUUUUAUAAACAGUCACAGAAUAAAAAAAUCUGUGAAACUCCUGAUAAAGAAAUCUGACGUGAUGUUUGAUAAAAGCUGCAGAGCUGAUUUCUGUUCAACAAACAUCCUCCUGUUAAAACAUCCAGCUGUCUGCGUCCCUGCAUACAAAGCAGCCAAUUAUUGACGGUUACGGCGGCGUAGGUGAGACAGCGUGUCACACGGCGUGGAUGUGUUGCAUUGUGCGGCUGAUCGGCGGCGUUACAGACGGCCUCAUUAUCCUCCUGAAAAGACGGCGACUCGCUCCGGCAGAGGGAGACGAACCCGAAGAAGAGAGUUAAUUUGCACUCUUAAACUCGUCCUCCUCUGACAUGUCGUCUUUAUUUCCUGACGGAGCGGGUGAGAAAGCGAGCGAGGGGUCCAGGGCCCCUCAGUGAGCGAGCGUGAUUGUGUCCGUGGCCUCUCUCUCUUUCAGCCACUUCCACCGUCAUUAAUUGGUGCUGUGGGAUGAAUCGGGUCCUUUCUACCUCUGGAUGAGUGUGUGUGCGUGUCUGAGAGGUAAUUGCUGUGAGCUUUAGAGGGCCAAAGUGUUGGUUUAAGGGCCCCUGACCUUUGACCCCCUGGCUAAAAGUUCCCCCUCCUUCCUUCUUUCUUUCUGUCACCGUGUGUGAAUGUCUUUCUCUCACCUUGUUCGGCCCUCUGAGUGUGUGUUUUUGUGUUUUUGUGUGCGUCUUUGUUUGCAGUGAGGAGCGAAAGAAAAGACGAGGAGAGUUUCCUGGAGGAGUGAAAACCUGCAGAGAUGAUUUAUUAAAACAAAAACUGUCCCGAGGGUUUUAGAGCUUUUUAACUUAUUUAUCUUUUCAUCAGUCCAAACUUUAAAGAACUCUUUUAUUCUGCCUGAUUCUGAGACGUUUUUAGUUUGUAAAGUUUCAUACGUAUGACGGAGUGUUAGGGCCACAUUAAGAAAAACAAAAAAAGGAAAAUCAUAAAAUAUAACAAUAGGAAAAAUCAUAAAAAUGUAAUAAAAUUAUUACUUAGGAUAAUAAAGUCGUAAAUAAUUACUAUCAUUCCUGACGAGAAUAAAGUCAUAUUGAAAUCAUUAUGAGAAUAAAGUCGUAAAAAAAAUAUAAUUUACAAGAAAUAAGUCUUAAAAAAAUCAUUACAACAAUAAAGUCGUAAUAAAAUCAUUAUUGACCAGAAUAAAGUCAUAAAAAAUCAUUACUUAGAAAGUAACUUUGUAAAAAAAUCAUUACGAGAAUUAAGUCGUAGUAAAAUCACUACUGAUGAGAAUAAAGUUGUAAAAAAGAAAUUACCAGAAUAAAGUCGUAGUAAUUCUCAAUUAAAUUUUAUUUUGUAAUGUGGUCCUAAUACUCGGUUGUACAUAUGUACUUAUUUAGAUGUUCCUUUUUUAAAUAACUUUUUUUCCUCUUUUUUACAUUUGGACUUUUUUUUUCAUCUCUGCAGAU
RNAcentral lists this long non-coding RNA (4290 nucleotides) under Xyrichtys novacula (pearly razorfish). Lineage: Eukaryota; Metazoa; Chordata; Actinopteri; Labriformes; Labridae. The record is from RNAcentral.